GUGUCAGCAGCCGCGGUAAUACGUAGGGGGCGAGCGUUGUCCGGAAUCAUUGGGCGUAAAGCGCGUGUAGGCGGCUCGUUAAGUCCGGUGUGAAACCUUGGGGCUCAACCCCAAGCCUGCACUGGAUACUGACGAGCUCGAGUCCGGGAGGGGAGAGCGGAAUUCCUAGUGUAGCGGUGAAAUGCGCAGAUAUUAGGAAGAACACCGGUGGCGAAGGCGGCUCUCUGGAACGGUACUGACGCUGAGACGCGAAAGCGUGGGGAGCGAACAGGAUUAGAAACCCUAGUAGUCC
Molecule: ribosomal RNA, 292 nt
Filed under: uncultured bacterium
Lineage: Bacteria
Description: partial 16S ribosomal RNA
Rfam family: Bacterial small subunit ribosomal RNA
Source: RNAcentral